AACGAACGCUGGCGGCAUGCCUAACACAUGCAAGUCGAACGAGACCUUCGGGUCUAGUGGCGCACGGGUGCGUAACGCGUGGGAACCUGCCCUUAGGUUCGGAAUAACUCCCCGAAAGGGGUGCUAAUACCGGAUAAUGUCUUCGGACCAAAGAUUUAUCGCCUUUGGAUGGGCCCGCGUUGGAUUAGCUAGUUGGUAGGGUAAAAGCCUACCAAGGCGACGAUCCAUAGCUGGUCUGAGAGGAUGAUCAGCCACACUGGGACUGAGACACGGCCCAGACUCCUACGGGAGGCAGCAGUGGGGGAUAUUGGACGAUGGGCGGAAGCCUGAUCCAGCACUGCCGGGUGAGUGAUGAAGGCCUUAGGGUUGUAAAGCUCUUUUACCCGGGAUGAUAAUGACAGUACCGGGAGAAUAAGCUCCGGCUAACUCCGUG
Molecule: ribosomal RNA, 433 nt
Filed under: uncultured bacterium
Lineage: Bacteria
Description: partial 16S ribosomal RNA
Rfam family: Bacterial small subunit ribosomal RNA
Source: RNAcentral